AAUAAAACACAAAGAGAAUUCGGCGCCUUAUGAGGUAAAAGAAAAACACAUCUGCACAGUAUGGAGAUUAAGUUGACUCUGACCCAAGUGAGAAAUCCGGGACCUCAGAACUAAGAACAAGUUGGGACAACAUUUGGUUGAACGCUGCCUGUCAUUUAACAGAAGAGCUCUUGGGAACUCUGAACAGAUUGCACUCCGUUUGGAGGAGUCCAUCGUAACUUCAGAUGGAAGUGUUCAAGGCUGCACACCUCGGGCUGCAGCUGCUCGUGAAGAGGCCAAGACUAUCCAAGAACCAGAGGGAGACCCCUCAAGCUGAGACUGAGCUACAUGCUGAGAAAAUCCUUUCAACCAGUAUUUGGAAGCUACAAAUAAUGGAGGAGUGUCCAGACCUGUAAGGAGAGAGAGAGAGAGCGCAAGACCCAUUCUCCUCCGCUGUACUUGUCUAAUAAGGACAUGGAAACAUCAGAUCUGAGGAUGACAUGGUGAGUGGAGCUUUCUGUGGGAACGGCAGUAGCAGUACUGUCUCUGGAUUCAAUAGGAGAGCCUGUUUGGGGAUAUACUCUUUUGAAACCCAAUGUAACUGAUACUCUAAAAUGAACUGGGCUUCCCCCUCCUAGGAAAGGCUGCUCAUCCUUGGAGAGCUCAGCAGACAUCAGAGGUAACACACCAUGGAAAGGAGGCAUUGGCCAGAGGUUCAGGGGAUUUCUCUCCAAUGAUUUCUCUCACUGCCAGAGUCCAGGAAAAGGAAUCAGAUUCACCUACAAUCCUGCCUUGAUCACCAGGCUUGUUGGUGAGAUUCCAACCCCAACUUUUCCCAUUUGCAUAUGAAUGAACAAUUGCUAUAUCUUGAACAUUAGUCAAAAGUUCCAAUAAUAUAUUAUAAUAAGAGAUUGAAAAUCUAUAUAUUACAUAUUUUGCAUAAGAAGAUUUCACUUUAUCUAAUUGCAGGUUACGGAAUGUAUACACACUUUGAGGUAUCCUAUUUUUAAGAUAAUGUACACAUUCUUGGGCUAGAAACACACAGGGCCCCAAAUUUGCUACAUUAGAACAAAGCACCCACAUUUAAAGUAGAUAUAAUCUCUUAUUAAGCUUGUAAGGGCCAAUAUGUUUCUUAAACCUUCUUAUCUGAUUUUUUCUCUCAUCAGCAUUUUGGAAGUAAUCAUACACAUAACUUUAGCCACAGGACACUUGUUAUCAAGAUUUAAAGGACUCAGUUGAAAGACCUCCAACAUGGCUUUGAAAUCUUAAUAUUAAAUACAUUUGAGUGCUACACAAGUAAUUAGCCAUAGGUAAUUAAAUAUGGUUCGGUUGGUGACUAGAGCCAUAUUCUAAACUAUUGGAAAGAAUCAAAGCUUCCAGUAAAUACAGGUGGGAUUAUUUUCAUUUCAAAGAGAC
Molecule: long non-coding RNA, 1395 nt
Filed under: Oryctolagus cuniculus (rabbit)
Lineage: Eukaryota; Metazoa; Chordata; Mammalia; Lagomorpha; Leporidae
Description: lncRNA (ENSOCUG00000030098.1)
Source: RNAcentral